GACGAACGCUGGCGGCGUGCUUAACACAUGCAAGUCGAACGGAAAGGCCCUGCUUUUGUGGGGUGCUCGAGUGGCGAACGGGUGAGUAACACGUGAGUAACCUGCCCUUGACUGUGGGAUAACUUCAGGAAACUGGGGCUAAUACCGGAUAGGAGCUCCUGCUGCAUGGUGGGGGUUGGAAAGUUUCGGCGGUUGGGGAUGGACUCGCGGCUUAUCAGCUUGUUGGUGGGGUAGUGGCUUACCAAGGCUUUGACGGGUAGCCGGCCUGAGAGGGUGACCGGCCACCUUGGGACUGCGGUACGGCCCAGACUCCUACGGGAGGCAGCAGUGGGGAAUAUUGCACAAUGGGCGGAAGCCUGAUGCAGCGACGCCGCGUGCGGGAUGACGGCCUUCGGGUUGUAAACCGCUUUCGCCUGUGACGAAGCGUGAGUGACGGUAAUGGGUAAAGAAGCACCGGCUAACUACGUG
Molecule: ribosomal RNA, 468 nt
Filed under: uncultured bacterium
Lineage: Bacteria
Description: partial 16S ribosomal RNA
Rfam family: Bacterial small subunit ribosomal RNA
Source: RNAcentral